AUGGUACUAGGUGUUGUCCGUGCUGCAUUUGAUGGCCAUGGUCAAAAGCCAACUCUUCCUCCUCCGGGAUCGAUUUCAUUUCCAGCUUGCUCUGCCACGGAUGGAUCUUCAGUCAUCCAUGCCGUUCGUGUUGUGCUCCCGUCGCCGGCCGUGUGUGAGUGGUGUGACCUGCACACUCUAUUGGCGGAGAAAGCAGGCAGUUGCAGGCAGAGGAAGCAGCUUGCUACUUGCAGAGGAAGAUUAGGAUUGCAUAGCACGAUUAGAAUGGCUCAUUUUAUGGUUUUGGUCUGGAUCGGUAAACCGUGA
This 306-nucleotide ribosomal RNA is filed under the name Triticum aestivum (bread wheat). Its description in RNAcentral is "partial small subunit ribosomal RNA". Lineage: Eukaryota; Viridiplantae; Streptophyta; Magnoliopsida; Poales; Poaceae. The record is from RNAcentral.